RNAcentral lists this ribosomal RNA (657 nucleotides) under uncultured bacterium. Its description in RNAcentral is "bacterial SSU rRNA". It matches the Rfam family "Bacterial small subunit ribosomal RNA", at positions 157 to 809 of the family's 1533-position model. The record is from RNAcentral.
GCUGUGCUAAUACCGCAUACGAUCUACGGAUGAAAGCGGGGGACCUUCGGGCCUCGCGCGAUUGGAGCGGCCGAUGUUAGAUUAGGUAGUUGGUGGGGUAAAGGCUCACCAAGCCGACGAUCUAUAGCUGGUCUGAGAGGACGACCAGCCACACUGGAACUGAGACACGGUCCAGACUCCUACGGGAGGCAGCAGUGGGGAAUUUUGGACAAUGGGCGCAAGCCUGAUCCAGCAAUACCGCGUGCAGGAAGAAGGCCUUCGGGUUGUAAACUGCUUUUGUACGGAACGAAAAGGCUCUUUUUAAUAAAGAGGGCUCAUGACGGUACCGUAAGAAUAAGCACCGGCUAACUACGUGCCAGCAGCCGCGGUAAUACGUAGGGUGCGAGCGUUAAUCGGAAUUACUGGGCGUAAAGCGUGCGCAGGCGGUUUUGUAAGACAGACGUGAAAUCCCCGGGCUCAACCUGGGAAUUGCGUUUGUGACUGCAAGGCUAGAGUACGGUAGAGGGGGGUAGAAUUCCGCGUGUAGCAGUGAAAUGCGUAGAUAUGCGGAGGAACACCGAUGGCGAAGGCAGCCCCCUGGACCUGUACUGACGCUCAUGCACGAAAGCGUGGGGAGCAAACAGGAUUAGAUACCCUGGUAGUCCACGCCCUAAACGA